CCCGCUGAACUUAAGCAUAUCAAUAAGCGGAGGAAAAGAAACCAACAGGGAUUGCCUUAGUAACGGCGAGUGAAGCGGCAAAAGCUCAAAUUUGAAAUCGGCCCCCAGGUCGAGUUGUAAUUUGUAGAUUGUAUCUUGAGAGCGGAUUAAAGUCUGUUGGAACACAGCGCCUUAGAGGGUGACAGCCCCGUAAAAUCUAUUCUCAUUGUAA
Molecule: ribosomal RNA, 211 nt
Filed under: Geotrichum candidum
Lineage: Eukaryota; Fungi; Ascomycota; Dipodascomycetes; Dipodascales; Dipodascaceae
Description: partial 28S ribosomal RNA
Rfam family: Eukaryotic large subunit ribosomal RNA
Source: RNAcentral